AGAGUUUGAUCAUGGCUCAGGACGAACGCUGGCGGCGUGCUUAACACAUGCAAGUCGAACGAGCUCCAACCAGUCGCAAGACUGGGGAAGAGCGAGUGGCGAACGGGUGAGUAACACGUGAGCAACCUGCCUCGAAGACUGGGAUAACAGCGGGAAACCACUGCUAAUACCGGAUACCCCCAUUGGGUCGCAUGGCUCGAUGAGGAAAUGAAUUUCGCUUCGAGAGGGGCUCGCGGGCUAUCAGCUUGUUGGUGGGGUAAUGGCCCACCAAGGCGACGACGGCUAGCUGGUCUGAGAGGACGACCAGCCACACUGGGACUGAGACACGGCCCAGACUCCUACGGGAGGCAGCAGUGGGGAAUCUUGCGCAAUGGGCGAAAGCCUGACGCAGCAACGCCGCGUGCGGGAUGACGGCCUUCGGGUUGUAAACCGCUUUCAGCAGGGACGAAGUUGACGGUACCUGCAGAAGAAGCCCCGGCCAACUACGUGCCAGCAGCCGCGGUA
This 504-nucleotide ribosomal RNA is filed under the name uncultured Actinomycetes bacterium. RNAcentral's name for it is "bacterial SSU rRNA". It matches the Rfam family "Bacterial small subunit ribosomal RNA", at positions 8 to 522 of the family's 1533-position model. Lineage: Bacteria; Bacillati; Actinomycetota; Actinomycetes. The record is from RNAcentral.